This 131-nucleotide microRNA precursor is filed under the name Prunus dulcis (almond). Its description in RNAcentral is "sRNA ncRNA". The record is from RNAcentral. Lineage: Eukaryota; Viridiplantae; Streptophyta; Magnoliopsida; Rosales; Rosaceae.
GAGAGGAUGAGAGGGGAGGAUGGGAGGGAGAAGUAACAAAAGUGAAAACAAUUUCAAAUAGAUUUCGGUUUUUUUGUUCUUGUUUUCACUUUUGUUACUCCUCCCUCACAGCCUCCUCUCUCAUCUUCCCU